This 236-nucleotide ribosomal RNA is filed under the name uncultured bacterium. RNAcentral describes it as "partial 16S ribosomal RNA". It matches the Rfam family "Bacterial small subunit ribosomal RNA", at positions 1256 to 1500 of the family's 1533-position model. The record is from RNAcentral.
GGUGACGGCAAGCAAAUCUCUUAAAGCCAGUCUCAGUUCGGAUUGUAGGCUGAAACUCGCCUACAUGAAGCUGGAGUUACUAGUAAUCGCAGAUCAGAAUGCUGCGGUGAAUACGUUCCCGGGCCUUGUACACACCGCCCGUCAAGCCAUGGAAGCCGGGGGCGCUUGAAGUGCGUUGCCGCAAGGCGCGCCCUAGAGCGAAACCGGUGACUGGGGCUAAGUCGUAACAAGGUAAC